AGCACACCAUCAGGAAUUCCCGCCUGUUUUCUCGCAAUAAUGUUUAGAUUGUUAGGUUUCUAUCGUUUGAUUACGUAUACGUUUUGCUUUAUUACAUGUUAAACUAGUGUGUUGUCCUUUUAGACACAACCUAACCUUUUAGUGUUUUAAGUAAAGCAAAAUUCUUACCGUUUUAAUUUUGCGGUUAACAAGUAUAGUUAUGAAAAAGUUUUUAAUCUAUAUCAACUUACUUCUUUUGAGAGAUGGGCAUAGA
This is a long non-coding RNA of Arabidopsis thaliana (thale cress), 253 nucleotides long. RefSeq annotates it as other RNA. NCBI's taxonomy places the organism in Eukaryota, Viridiplantae, Streptophyta, Magnoliopsida, Brassicales, Brassicaceae. The record is from RefSeq. The transcript has a single exon.